This 253-nucleotide ribosomal RNA is filed under the name uncultured bacterium. RNAcentral's name for it is "partial 16S ribosomal RNA". It matches the Rfam family "Bacterial small subunit ribosomal RNA", at positions 524 to 776 of the family's 1533-position model. The record is from RNAcentral.
UACGAAGGGGGCUAGCGUUGCUCGGAAUUACUGGGCGUAAAGCGCACGUAGGCGGCUUGUUAAGUCGGGGGUGAAAUCCUGGAGCUCAACUCCAGAACUGCCUUCGAUACUGGCGAGCUCGAGUGCGUGAGGGAUGGGGGGAACGAGCAGUGUAGCGGUGAAAUGCGUAGAUAUUGCUCGGAAGGCCAGAGCCGAAGGGGCCCCAUUGGUACGUAACUGACGCUGAGGCACGAAAGCGUGGGGAGCAAACAGG